GACGAACGCUGGCGGCGUGCUUAACACAUGCAAGUCGAACGGAAAGGCCCUGCUUUUGUGGGGUGCUCGAGUGGCGAACGGGUGAGUAACACGUGAGUAACCUGCCCUUGACUUUGGUAUAACUUCAGGAAACUGGGGCUAAUACCGGAUAGGAGCUCCUGCUGCAUGGUGGGGGUUGGAAAGUUUCGGCGGUUGGGGAUGGACUCGCGGCUUAUCAGCUUGUUGGUGGGGUAGUGGCUUACCAAGGCUUUGACGGGUAGCCGGCCUGAGAGGGUGACCGGCCACAUUGGGACUGAGAUACGGCCCAGACUCCUACGGGAGGCAGCAGUGGGGAAUAUUGCACAAUGGGAGGAAGCCUGAUGCAGCAACGCCGCGUGCGGGAUGACGGCCUUCGGGUUGUAAACCGCUUUCGCCUGUGACGAAGCGUGAGUGACGGUAAUGGGUAAAGAAGCACCGGCUAACUACGUG
Molecule: ribosomal RNA, 468 nt
Filed under: uncultured bacterium
Lineage: Bacteria
Description: partial 16S ribosomal RNA
Rfam family: Bacterial small subunit ribosomal RNA
Source: RNAcentral